UUUUUUUUUUUUUUUUUUUUUUUUUUUUUUUUUUUUUUC
Molecule: non-coding RNA, 39 nt
Filed under: Alexandrium minutum
Lineage: Eukaryota; Dinophyceae; Gonyaulacales; Pyrocystaceae
Source: RNAcentral